AAUGGAAAAAUAGAACAUGUCCUAUUAUUGUCCGCAUUACGGACAAGGAUAGUACUGUUGUAUUAGGGUCAAGCUGUUCCGUUCCCCAAAAUACGGAUUUCACACGGACGUCGUUCGUAUUUUUUGCGUAUUGUAAAAUAAA
Bufo bufo (common toad) is the source of this 142-nucleotide long non-coding RNA. RefSeq lists it as uncharacterized. The transcript has 3 exons. The record is from RefSeq and is a predicted model, not a curated record. Lineage: Eukaryota; Metazoa; Chordata; Amphibia; Anura; Bufonidae.